RNAcentral lists this ribosomal RNA (508 nucleotides) under uncultured bacterium. Its description in RNAcentral is "partial 16S ribosomal RNA". It matches the Rfam family "Bacterial small subunit ribosomal RNA", at positions 30 to 523 of the family's 1533-position model. The record is from RNAcentral.
AUUGAACGCUGGCGGCAUGCCUUACACAUGCAAGUCGAACGGCAGCGGGGGAGAAGCUUGCUUUUCCUGCCGGCGAGUGGCGAACGGGUGAGUAAUACAUCGGAACGUGCCCUGUAGUGGGGGAUAACUAGUCGAAAGAUUAGCUAAUACCGCAUACGACCUGAGGGUGAAAGUGGGGGACCGCAAGGCCUCAUGCUAUAGGAGCGGCCGAUGUCUGAUUAGCUAGUUGGUGGGGUAAAGGCCUACCAAGGCGACGAUCAGUAGCUGGUCUGAAGGGACUGUCAGCCACACUGGGACUGAGACACGGCCCAGACUCCUACGGGAGGCAGCAGAGGGGAAUUUUGGACAAUGGGCGAAAGCCUGAUCCAGCAAUGCCGAGUGUGUGAAGAGGGCCUUCGGGUUGUAAAGCACUUUUGUCCGGAAAGAAAUGGCUCUGGUUAAUACCUGGGGUCGAUGACGGUACCGGAAGAAUAAGGACCGGCUAACUACGUGCCAGCCGCCGCGGUAA